AACUAAUUUUUAACACCUCGUCAUAACAAUCCUACCCCAACCCCUACCUAACCCCACCCCACUCACAUUUUUAUUCUCACGGUAACAAACUAAAAGAGAAUUCACCACAAGAGAAUAUAUAUACACCCACACAUCACAACAACUUGGGGGGGGGGGAGGGGGAGGCAUAAUUUCCAUUUAUAAAGAGGAGAUAUUCACUGGAAUAUAAGGAUAGAGAGAGCAUUACAUACGGGUGGGGAUCACGCUCACAUAAAAGAAAAAAUUUCCAUUUAUAUAUUCCAUUCACACGUAAAUACAGGGGACGAACUGAAAAAAGGAAGCUUCUUCUUCAUUCUUUUCUUCUUGGGCACACAAAAAUGGCGGACCCAUGAUAAUCGGGUUGUUUUCCAUGGAAUAAAGGGGGAAAUUCAUCUUUCUUCUGAGAUACACAGAUAACUUCACUGAAGAAAGGAAAAGGGGACUCCAUUUUUGGGUUUCUUCUUCGCAAUACACAUCACACAAAGAAACACUCAUAUCGUUACACACAGAAUACAUAAAAGGAGCAGGAUUUUCACAGGUGGGUCACGGUUCUGGCAAUGUUCGGCUAGAGAUAAGCUUUUCCCGAUCAGUUCGAGGUUGAAUUCAACUGGAACUGGGAGGUUCGAUGUUCUGAAGUCGGGUCGAGGCAUUCCGGUCAGAGCUCUAAUCAAAAUACUUCAACAGAUUGAAAUAAAAGCUGAGGUCCAAUUCUCUCAUAUCUCUUUUAAUUUCUAUGUGAUUUUGGAUGUAAUUCGAUGUCAUUGUUCUUGUGGUUGAUGAUUUUUUUGAUGUUUGGUGUUGUUUACUUUGAAUAGUCGAUCUCGUUGGUAUAAAUGUGAUAACAAUAUAAGUUUGGAAUUGUAUUAAAAAUAAAAAUUGGGUGGGAAUUUAAACUUUGAUAAAA
This is a long non-coding RNA of Capsicum annuum, 922 nucleotides long. RefSeq lists it as uncharacterized. NCBI's taxonomy places the organism in Eukaryota, Viridiplantae, Streptophyta, Magnoliopsida, Solanales, Solanaceae. The transcript is spliced from 2 exons. The record is from RefSeq and is a predicted model, not a curated record.